Molecule: ribosomal RNA, 253 nt
Filed under: uncultured bacterium
Lineage: Bacteria
Description: partial 16S ribosomal RNA
Rfam family: Bacterial small subunit ribosomal RNA
Source: RNAcentral
CACGUAGGGCGCAAGCGUUGUCCGGAAUUAUUGGGCGUAAAGAGCUCGUAGGCGGCCUGUUGCGUCUGCUGUGAAAGCCCGGGGCUUAACCCCGGGCCUGCAGUGGAUACGGGCGGGCUAGAGGCAGGUAGGGGAGAAUGGAAUUCCUGGUGUAGCGGUGAAAUGCGCAGAUAUCAGGAGGAACACCGGUGGCGAAGGCGGGUCUCUGGGCCGAUACUGACGCUGAGGAGCGAAAGCGUGGGGAGCGAACAGG